Molecule: ribosomal RNA, 427 nt
Filed under: uncultured bacterium
Lineage: Bacteria
Description: partial 16S ribosomal RNA
Rfam family: Bacterial small subunit ribosomal RNA
Source: RNAcentral
GUGAGGAAUCUUCCACAAUGGGCGAAAGCCUGAUGGAGCAACGCCGCGUGAAGGAUGAAGGUCUUCGGAUUGUAAACUUCUUUUAUGAGUGAAGAAUAUGACGGUAACUCAUGAAUAAGCACCGGCUAACUACGUGCCAGCAGCCGCGGUCAUACGUAGGGUGCAAGCAUUAUCCGGAGUGACUGGGCGUAAAGAGUUGCGUAGGCGGUUAUGUAAGCGAAUAGUGAAACCUGGUGGCUCAACGACACAGACUAUUAUUCGAACUGCAUAACUCGAGAAUGGUAGAGGUAACUGGAAUUUCUUGUGUAGGAGUGAAAUCCGUAGAUAUAAGAAGGAACACCAAUGGCGUAGGCAGGUUACUGGGCCAUUUCUGACGCUAAGGCACGAAAGCGUGGGGAGCGAACCGGAUUAGAAACCCGUGUAGUCC